RNAcentral lists this long non-coding RNA (210 nucleotides) under Eucalyptus grandis. RNAcentral describes it as "long non-coding RNA (EGRA_LNC006737)". The record is from RNAcentral. Lineage: Eukaryota; Viridiplantae; Streptophyta; Magnoliopsida; Myrtales; Myrtaceae.
UCAGGUCUCACACCCAGUCCGGUGCGUCAGGCGGUGGCGGUGGCAGCAUCCCUCCCAUCACCCCAUCGCGGCGAACGUGAACAGAAACAAACUCCUGAACGAUUGGGCCCCCAGCCAGGCCUAUGUCGUACAUGACAAGACAGCGUACGCGAAUGUAGGUGAGUCUAGGCACGGAAGGACAGCCGAACUCCUCACACUCUACCUCAACGU